UGGGGAAUAUUGGACAAUGCGGGAAACCGUGAUCCAGCAAUGCCGCGUGAGUGAUGAAGGCCUUAGGGUUGUAAAGCUCUUUUACCAGGGAUGAUAAUGACAGUACCUGGAGAAUAAGCUCCGGCUAAUUCCGUGCCAGCAGCCGCGGUAAUACGGAGGGAGCUAGCGUUGUUCGGAAUUACUGGGCGUAAAGCGCGCGUAGGCGGGCUGUUAAGUCAGAGGUGAAAUCCCGGGGCUCAACCCCGGAACGGCCUUUGAUACUGGCAGCCUUGAGUUCGAGAGAGGUGAGUGGAAUUCCGAGUGUAGAGGUGAAAUUCGUAGAUAUUCGGAGGAACACCAGUGGCGAAGGCGGCUCACUGGCUCGAUACUGACGCUGAGGUGCGAAAGCGUGGGGAGCAAACAGGAUUAGAUACCCGGGUAGUCC
Molecule: ribosomal RNA, 424 nt
Filed under: uncultured prokaryote
Description: bacterial SSU rRNA
Rfam family: Bacterial small subunit ribosomal RNA
Source: RNAcentral